UCACAGAAAUAUACAAAAAUAUGCAGGGUUUUUUGUGUUUAACAAAAAACCCUGCAUAUUUUUGUAUAUUUCUGUGA
Paramuricea clavata is the source of this 77-nucleotide non-coding RNA. NCBI's taxonomy places the organism in Eukaryota, Metazoa, Cnidaria, Anthozoa, Malacalcyonacea, Plexauridae. The record is from the annotation of a GenBank genome assembly.